UACGUAGGUGGCAAGCGUUGUCCGGAUUUACUGGGCGUCAAGUGCGUGCAGGCGGUCUGUUAAGUCUAGGGUGAAAGCUCCCGGCUCAACUGGGAGAGGUCCUUGGAUACUGGCGGACUUGAGGGAGGUAGAGGAAAGUGGAAUUCCCGGUGUAGUGGUGAAAUGCGUAGAUAUCGGGAGGAACACCAGUGGCGAAGGCGACUACCUGGCCUGUUCUUGACGCUGAGGCGCGAAAGCUAGGGGAGCAAACGGG
RNAcentral lists this ribosomal RNA (253 nucleotides) under uncultured bacterium. RNAcentral describes it as "partial 16S ribosomal RNA". It matches the Rfam family "Bacterial small subunit ribosomal RNA", at positions 524 to 776 of the family's 1533-position model. The record is from RNAcentral.